AUUCAGAUGAUGAGUCCCAAAUAGGAUGAAACGAGCAUCCUAGAU
Molecule: non-coding RNA, 45 nt
Organism: Schistosoma mansoni
Lineage: Eukaryota; Metazoa; Platyhelminthes; Trematoda; Strigeidida; Schistosomatidae
Source: Rfam